Long non-coding RNA from Drosophila ananassae, 432 nucleotides. RefSeq lists it as uncharacterized. The transcript has 2 exons. The record is from RefSeq and is a predicted model, not a curated record. Lineage: Eukaryota; Metazoa; Arthropoda; Insecta; Diptera; Drosophilidae.
GGAGCCACUGCGUCAGCACUAUCUGUCUGAGGUGGCCCACCUACACAUAGGUGGGACAUAAAAUGGGUUCCUUAUAUAAACUCCGCACUCCGACUUCAUUUUAGAGUUCAACUCUCCAUCUGCGUGAAUCACAUCAUCAAAAGUGUCUUCCCGGGUCGAUGGCCACAAGUGGUGGACAACAUCAGCAUCGCGCUUACGCAGUACAGCCUUCCGAUGGACUUCAUCACCCGAGAGAUCUUCUCGCAGUGGAUGGAGAUUGGUCGCCAAAUUGAUAAUCGGGAUGAGCCAAAUUGAUGUCGGGAUAGUUCCCAUUUGGACGAUGAUGAGCGCACCGAAUUAACAUACUGCUACACCAAGAAGUGGGCUCUCCACAUCAUGGUUCGCAUGUUCGAGGGGUAUGGAAGUCCCAGCAACGUAGUUAGUGAAAAGCAC